CGUAGGGUGCGAGCGUUAAUCGGAAUUACUGGGCGUAAAGUGUGCGCAGGCGGCGCCGCAAGUCGAGUGUGAAAUCCCCGAGCUUAACUUGGGAAUUGCGCUCGAAACUACGGUGCUGGAGUAUGGCAGAGGAAGGUGGAAUUCCACGUGUAGCGGUGAAAUGCGUAGAGAUGUGGAGGAACACCGAUGGCGAAGGCAGCCUUCUGGGCCAAUACUGACGCUCAUGCACGAAAGCGUGGGGAGCAAACAGGAUUAGAUACCCUGGUAGUCCACGCCCUAAACGAUGAUGACUAGUUGUUGGAGGAGUUAAAUCCUUUAGUAACGCAGCUAACGCGUGAAGUCAUCCGCCUGGGGAGUACGGUCGCAAGAUUA
Molecule: ribosomal RNA, 372 nt
Filed under: uncultured organism
Description: bacterial SSU rRNA
Rfam family: Bacterial small subunit ribosomal RNA
Source: RNAcentral